RNAcentral lists this ribosomal RNA (745 nucleotides) under uncultured bacterium. RNAcentral's name for it is "bacterial SSU rRNA". It matches the Rfam family "Bacterial small subunit ribosomal RNA", at positions 33 to 773 of the family's 1533-position model. The record is from RNAcentral.
ACGCUGGCGGCAGGCCUAACACAUGCAAGUCGAGCGGUAGAGAGAAGCUUGCUUCUCUUGAGAGCGGCGGACGGGUGAGUAAUGCCUAGGAAUCUGCCUGGUAGUGGGGGAUAACGUUCGGAAACGGACGCUAAUACCGCAUACGUCCUACGGGAGAAAGCAGGGGACCUUCGGGCCUUGCGCUAUCAGAUGAGCCUAGGUCGGAUUAGCUAGUUGGUGGGGUAAUGGCUCACCAAGGCGACGAUCCGUAACUGGUCUGAGAGGAUGAUCAGUCACACUGGAACUGAGACACGGUCCAGACUCCUACGGGAGGCAGCAGUGGGGAAUAUUGGACAAUGGGCGAAAGCCUGAUCCAGCCAUGCCGCGUGUGUGAAGAAGGUCUUCGGAUUGUAAAGCACUUUAAGUUGGGAGGAAGGGCAGUAAAUUAAUACUUUGCUGUUUUGACGUUACCGACAGAAUAAGCACCGGCUAACUCUGUGCCAGCAGCCGCGGUAAUACAGAGGGGUGCAAGCGUUAAUCGGAAUUACUGGGCGUAAAGCGCGCGUAGGUGGUUCGUUAAGUUGGAUGUGAAAUCCCCGGGCUCAACCUGGGAACUGCAUUCAAAACUGCCGAGCUAGAGUAUGGUAGAGGGUGGUGGAAUUUCCUGUGUAGCGGUGAAAUGCGUAGAUAUAGGAAGGAACACCAGUGGCGAAGGCGACCACCUGGACUGAUACUGACACUGAGGUGGAAACUGUGGGGAGCAAAC